This 3752-nucleotide long non-coding RNA is filed under the name Nicotiana benthamiana. RNAcentral describes it as "long non-coding RNA (NBEN_LNC022936)". The record is from RNAcentral. Lineage: Eukaryota; Viridiplantae; Streptophyta; Magnoliopsida; Solanales; Solanaceae.
UAGCAAGUAUAGAGCAAGCUAUUUAUAAUUCUUAUAUAAAGUUGAGUCACAACAGUCACGAUACACAAUUAUACAAAUUUCUUUAUAUAACUUGAGUCCUAAAUUAAAUAGAUAUUCAAAAAGUUUAAUCCAUCUUUGGCCAUCUCAAGUGAUCGUCCAUUUUAACGCUCAGAGUAUCCUCCCACUGGAAACAAUUAGGACGAUAAGAGUUAGUGAUUAUGUGGAUAACAAUUUUGAUAGAAGUACGAAGCACUGAAAAAGAAGUAAAAGAGAUAAUGAUUCACAAGCAACAUCUAAACUAAUUUGUAUCCCUUUGUCUAAUCCAAAAAACUAUUCACGUAAUCGAAUUUAUAAACAGUGGAAUCAAGGUAAGUAUUGCAGAACAUUCAAGAGAAGCUCAAGGAGCCAUGCCUCGUAGUUUUGAGUAUUUACAAUACCAACAGGCACAUGCUUAAUAUUGUUUCCAUAUGCCGGACGAAAUGAACUUCUUAUAUAGAGUGUAAAUUGAUUAAUAUUAUCAUUUACAUACAAUGUAAAUUACCAGAAUAGACAAGAGGGGUUGCUCGGAUGGUAAGCAACCCCCACUUCCGACUGAGAGGUUGUGAGUUCGAGUCUCCCCAAGAGCAAGGUGGGAAGUUCUUGGAGGGAAGGAUGCAAGAGGGGUUGCUCGGAUGGUAAGCAACCCCCACUUCCGACUGAGAGGUUGUGAGUUCGAGUCUCCCCAAGAGCAAGGUGGGAAGUUCUUGGAGGGGAAGAUGGCGGGGUCUAUUUGGAAACAGUCUCUCUACCCUAGGGUAGGGGUAAAGUCUGCGUACACACUACCCUCCCCAGACUCCACUAAGUGGGAUUAUACUGGGUUGUUGUUGUUGUUGUAAAUUACCAGAAUGAAAUUAAUUGUCACCUUUCUGCGACAGAAACAAAAGGUGUUUUCUUAUGCCAAGCCCAUUUGACAUUCAACCCCCAAGUUUUUAAAAGCAGGAAAGAACUUUUCUUUGAAAAGUAAAGUUUACACAAAAGUAUAAACUAACUUACUAAAGGUGACAAUAUGACUAAUCCAAAAAACCUUGCUAAGCAAACAAACAUGCAAUGGAGAAACUUAAUAUUAUGUUAUUUUCGUAGACAGUUAGCAUAAAAGUAUCAAGUAAACAUGUACCUUCCCAUCUUUCUCCAAUUCUCCGUAAUCCCUAUUUCAACAGAAAAUCCAGUCUCUUGUAUUAUAUUUGCCUGCAGAGUGCAGAGUAGAAGGACACUAGCCAAGCAAUUUCGAUAGAAUCAGAUUUACUCACUUUGGUAAUUUAAUUAGACUGCAAAAAUAAUCCUGAGUUUCUAUUUGUAUCAUCUUGCUGUAGUUAACUUCUCAAACCUUUCUUUCAACAUCACCUUUUCUUAAUAAAUGUAACACGGUUCCGUUUUUCUAUCUUCUUUCUAUAUUCUCCACAAUUUUAGCAUUUUUAAAGGCUCUUGAAUGUAGGAAAUAUUUUAGCAUAUUUUAAGAUUUUGUACUUCAAUAUAUGUAAGUUAAACAGAUGAAUCUGAUAAGUAGCAUCGCAUUCCAGGAACAAAGAUGAAUAUGAUAUGUAGCACAGUAUUAGAAAGAAUGGAUCUUAAAGUUAGCUCAAGAGGGUUGCUCUGAUGGUAAGCAACCCCAUUUCCAACUGAGAGGUUGUGAGUUCGAGUCUCCCCUAGAGCAAGGUGAGAAAUUCUUGGAGGGAAGGAUGACGAGUUUCUAUUUGGAAACAGCCUCUCUACCCAAGGGUAGGGGUAAGGUCUGCAUACAUACUAUCCUCCUCAGACCUCACUAAAUGGGAUUAUACUGGGCUGUUGUUGUUGUUGUUGGAUCUUAAAGUUAGCUAGUAGCUUAAAAUAUAUAGAAAUUUUCUUGCCUAGAUACACCCAUAAAGAAACGUCUCAAAUAGAAAAGUAUAAAAGAUGUCGGGAAAAAACCUUUUUUUUGAGAAAUAUCUCAAUUCACAAAUAGAAGGGGAAAAAUGAGCAUACCACGAUAUUCGUGUACUCCCGGAUCUUGUGAAGCCCAUAAUCCACCGCCCACAAUUAGCAAAAAUAUAAUCAAACCCGGACGCGUCCAAUAACAUUAUGCAUACACACACAUGAUAAAAUAAUUUAGAAAAAUAUAUGCAAAAAUGUUUACAAAUAUAUUUCUACAACAAUUUUUAACAGGUGUAUGCAAAAACUCAUGGAGAGAAGACAUACCUGUUGGCUAACCAUGUUUGUACUUUUUGGUGUCGCUAAAAUUCUUUCCAAAUUAAAGCACCAAAGAGUUGUAUCCAGAACAUCUAAAAACAUAAAUAUAGAAGUAAUAUUUUAAAAGAAUGGGAUAAAUAUCAGUAGAAAUUAGAUGAAUAAAAUAUCUAUAGAUAGUGAAAAAUACAAAAUAAUAUCAUACAUAUGUUAAAAUACACUUGUGAAAUUAAGUUAGGUAACUACUGCCAAAAUCUCAACUUUGACAGGUUGAAAUAUAACACAUUGAUAGUUCACCGACGUUUUCCAAUCUGUUUAUCACCAGCAUCAACAUCAUUGCUAGAGCUUUAAAAUUCAUUGUAAGUUAUUUCUAGAAGUCCAUCUAAUUAGUAUUAUCUUUCAGUAACAUUUUAACUAUACUUGUCCAAGAAAAUUUAGGCAGAUAAAAAAUGAGUCAUCAGUGAUAACUUAUUGACCAUCUCAACUUUAAUACCAUGGCCAAUGCAACACACUUCAUUGAACAAACAAGUAAAAUACAAAAGUGUACUCAUGCUUCAAGCCUUCUAUAGAUGUUUCUACAUUUGUAUAAAAAGUUCAUGAAAAAGUUUCCCCAGUUCACAAAAAUAUAAAAGUUUGCAUAAUUGAAGGCAAUCUUAAUUUAUUCGAAAAAGAGAAAGGCAAGAAAUUCUUACCAAAUAGCUAGUUGUUUCAUGCAUAUCAUCGAAUACCUUGGAUCUAUUAAUUUGCAUAGUAUAAAUUCCAUGGUCCUGAGCAAAGAAUGAAGAUAACUCGAAGAAUAAAGUAAAAGAAGAGUAAACAAUAAAUAUUCAGAUAGAAAGUGUGACUAACUAUAAACAAUCGAGAUUUACAGAUAUAGAGCACCAUGAAAGUACUGGUACAAAUAAACGGUUAUUGUCAAUAACUAAAUCUUUGCUACUGUAGCAAAGACCCAAAUCUUUCAACAGAAAGCUUAAUAUUACAGAUUUUUUGCCUAAAUAUUUUAAUUUGCAAAUAGUAAGUAGUGCCUAAAAAAUUACUGACAUACAUAUAAAAAUUCUAACAAAAAUUAAGCGGAAGAGUAAGAAAACUAAAAUUGAAGCAAAAAUAGAAAAACUUUCAAAGGAAUUCCAAAGUCAUGGGCAGAAAUAGGUGCAAGAAAUGAAAAAGCUUGCCAAACGUAAACAAUGAAAAUUAGAAACCACAAAUGGGAAAAUGAUACCCCAGAAGCGAUGGACGAUUACAGGAGAUACAGCGCAGCGAGAGAGAUAUCAAAACAAAACUUGUGGAAUUCAAGAAUAUUGAGGAAGAAGAAAACUGAAGUGGUAACUCAAAACAUGAAAAUUUUUAUUGUCUCUCUUACAACUGAGAGACAGACAAACUUUUGUCUAAUACUUUUAUGACCCACAUUUCUGUAAAAUUGGGGUCAUAAAUUUGUGAGAAGCCUCCUACCAAACACAAAAUAAAACUUCUCCUCAAAACAUACUGUGUGCACGCAUUUCUAUAAGAAUGAACGUAGAGGGAACACCUAAUUUACUCAUAAAGCAGAUUGAAUU